Molecule: ribosomal RNA, 536 nt
Filed under: uncultured Acidobacteriota bacterium
Lineage: Bacteria; Pseudomonadati; Acidobacteriota
Description: bacterial SSU rRNA
Rfam family: Bacterial small subunit ribosomal RNA
Source: RNAcentral
UGGGGAAUCUUGCACAAUGGGCGAAAGCCUGAUGCAGCGACGCCGCGUGGGGGAUGAAGCAUUUCGGUGUGUAAACCCCUUUCGAUCCGGACGAAACCCCGCAAGGGAUUGACGGUACGGAUAUAAGAAGCCCCGGCUAACUACGUGCCAGCAGCCGCGGUAAGACGUAGGGGGCCAGCGUUGUUCGGAAUUACUGGGUGUAAAGGGUUCGUAGGCGGUGCGGCAAGUUGGGAGUGAAAUCUCUGGGCUUAGCCCAGAGGCUGCUUCCAAAACUGCUGUGCUUGAGUGUGGGAGAGGCGCGUGGAAUUGCAGGUGUAGCGGUGAAAUGCGUAGAUAUCUGCAGGAACACCCGUGGCGAAAGCGGCGCGCUGGACCACUACUGACGCUGAGGAACGAAAGCUAGGGGAGCAAACAGGAUUAGAUACCCUGGUAGUCCUAGCCCUAAACGAUCAGGACUUGGGGUGCCACCCGUUCGGGUGUCGUCCCGGAGCUAACGCGUUAAGUCCUGCACCUGGGGAGUACGGUCGCAAGACUGA